Molecule: ribosomal RNA, 467 nt
Filed under: uncultured bacterium
Lineage: Bacteria
Description: partial 16S ribosomal RNA
Rfam family: Bacterial small subunit ribosomal RNA
Source: RNAcentral
GACGAACGCUGGCGGCGUGCUUAACACAUGCAAGUCGAACGGAAAGGCUCCAGCUUGCUGGAGUACUCGAGUGGCGAACGGGUGAGUAACACGUGGGUAAUCUGCCCUGCACUCUGGGAUAAGCCUGGGGAACUGGGUCUAAUACUGGAUAUGACCUUUCUCCUUAUGGGGUUUGGUGGAAAGUUUUUCGGUGUAGGAUGAGCCCGCGGCCUAUCAGCUUGUUGGUGGGGUGAUGGCCUACCAAGGCGACGACGGGUAGCCGGCCUGAGAGGGUGAUCGGCCACAUUGGGACUGAGAUACGGCCCAGACUCCUACGGGAGGCAGCAGUGGGGAAUAUUGCACAAUGGGCGGAAGCCUGAUGCAGCGACGCCGCGUGAGGGAUGACGGCCUUCGGGUUGUAAACCUCUUUCAGCAGGGACGAAGCGUAAGUGACGGUACCUGCAGAAGAAGCACCGGCUAACUAUGUG